AUUGAAAUGGUCGUACUAUAUACAAAAGAAAAUAAUAAUUUAAUCAUAUAACUAUAAUUUAAUAUUAUAUACAAAAUAAUUAUAUUAUAGUUAUAUGAGUAUAUACAGGAUAAUUAUAUUAUAACUAGGUGACCGGUCCGCACCCUGUGCGGGCAUAAGAAAAUUUAAAAUAUGGACUAAAUCUUAUAUAGUUUUAUAAGUAACAGAUUUUAUAAUAUAAUACCACCGUCUUGGGAGAAUUCAUCAGCCAUGGAAAAAAACUUGUACUCAAUAUUUGAGAUGGACGAGAGGAAACAAAGUAGCUUCAGUAUGAAGAGGUAGAUAUUGUGUGUACGUAUAAUUGCAACGUCCCAAAAUAAUUUGUAUGUUUACGAAGAAACUUUCAUUCAAAAUAUGGAAUAAAUAGUGCAUAGUUUUAGAAGUAUCAGAUUUUAUAUUAUCAUUAAUUAGAAAUGUAUUGUAUAUUUGUCGUAAUUUUUUAAUGUUGGUGAAUAAUAUUUUUUUUCCAUUAAUAAUAAAAAAACAUUUGUGUAGACAUAGUAAAAGAAAACAUAAUAAAAAAAAAUUCAAAAUAUUAUCCAUAAACAAUAUAAAUUAUGAAGUACAAUUGUCGAAAAAUAAAGAAAAAUCAAUUAGAAACCUGCAAAAAAUUAAAUAAAUUUUGUAAGUAAUUUGACGGGUUAACAUUAUUUGAUAGAUUUAUAAGUUUCUAAAUAAAAGUUAACAUGAAAUAACAUUAAAUUGACAGACAGUCAUCGAAAUAGUCAAAAACGAGAUGCUCCUGAAUACAAUCGGUCUCCUAACUCAUCACUACCCAUCUGGAAAAUACAAAAAAUAAAUAAUUGUAACAGUUUAUAUACUUAAAAUGUUGUAUUUGAAAAGAAAGUAGAUUAAAAUUACAUACCGUGACUGCGGAAUAUUCUGAAAAACUUGUGUGUAGACAACAUUCAAUGUUUUUGUCUGCGUUUUCCCUUCUUUACCAGUUAUUAGGAUUUUUAAUCCAGAUCUCGACUUAACUCUUGAAAGUGCAACGUAGAGCUGACCAUGACAGAACACUGGCCUAGGCAGAAACAACCCAACACUUUCCAGUGUUUGACCUUGACUUUUGUUGAUGGUUAUCGCGAAAGCCAAAAUAACUGGAAACUGUCUUCGACGCAUUCUGAAAGGAAACUUUGUGUCAGCUGGUGUGACAAACAUUCUAGGGAUCCAAACCGGAUGUCCAACAAUUUUGUUUCCGGUUAUAAUUCUACCUUCUAUCACAUGGGGCAAUAACUGAGUAACAAUUAGCCUAGUACCAUUACAUAAACCAUAUGCAACAUCCAUGUUACGAAGACACAUGAUAGGAGCACCAACCUUGAGCUUCAAACAAUGUCUAGGCAGUCCAACCACUUUAACACUGUUCAAAAACUCUGCAGGAUAUACUACAUUUUCUUCUAUGUCAACAUCGGAUGGGAUAAUACUGUCAGAGCUAAGGUAAACCUUCUCUUCUCCUGAAAGCAUAUGUAAAUCCUUUUGUUUAGUGAUAUAUAAAAAGUUAGUUGAACAUAAGAAUCCUACUAUAUAAAAGAAGCUAAAUUCUAGCUUUUCUAGAGGUGCCACAUGGGCAAAAUAAUCCCCACCUAUCAAACUGCCAUGUCAUUAUGAACUGGGCUUGGAGUUAACAUUCGCAGCCCAUUUAAACCAUUUCAAAGCCCAGUUUAAAAUUCUCUAAAAUCCUGCGCAAGAUCCGUCGACUGUUGACCAUCCGAGCAAGCUCACCUUCGAAGGAGCCCCGCAGCCCCAAGACGCUGUGGUCCAGAGGACCCGACUCCAAACCCUACUCACAUCCAAUCUUCCGUGACGCCGCCGCCUCCAAGUUCAAGAAACCACGCACUGCUCCAUCUUCAUUCUGAUGGAGAGAGACCAUACCGGAGGUGAGCAUCUCAAGAGAAACCACCAUCCUUUCAAGGGUCGUCCCUUUGACGAUUUGCAUCUCCAGAUCUGGACGAAAAAGUUUCAAACCCCGAUAGUUGACUAGCGGCUCUGGCUUUGUCUUCGACGCCCUCAAUCGGAGCUCAUCCGCCGAGAGAGCCGACGAACCACCAGGAUCUGAAGCUUACAUGGAGAAACCGUGCCGUGCAUGUUCCGUCAGUCGAGAUCAGUUGCCGUAGAGAAAGAAAAAGUGGGGGUGGGAGACCUCUGAACAACCGACGGAGACGCCGGAGAAGGAGACUCCACCCGGAUGAAAAGACGAAGCGAAGAACUCUAGAGAGAAAAAGAUAGAGGGCGUCGAUGCCAGACAAAGGCUUUGUUACCUAGAAUAGUUUUUGCUAUCAAAUUAUUUUACUGAGGCAACGAUUUGAAAUAUGUAUUUUUGAAGAUUUUUAUUUUUACUUUUGAGGAACUUCGGAGUAUUUUAAACAUCUAGAUCAUGUGAUUGAUUGCUUUAGUUUCUAAAUAUAUAAUCUUGGUUUAUCUUUGAUCUACUCAUGUAGACAUUCCCACUGUCGAUCAGUGAAACAAUUGGAAGCACUGAAUCCUGCUCUGUCUCCGGUAGAGAAUUCGAUGCUUCUCUACUGUAACUGGGUUUUCCUGGGGAGUAUAUUCAGAGUGAACCGGUAUGUCUAUGGUCGAGCGAGAGCCAGUCCCUUGAAUCUCGAAGACCUCAAAUGCUGAAACUGGUGAUAGUGGAUGUGAACUAAACAAUUUGAAUAGUCAAGGUAGGAUCAAUGAUGCAGACAGUCGUUUAGUUCAUAAUUGUAGAGAGGCUGGCAAUCAAAGUUUGCUGGUUAUGUUAACUAAUUCUAGGCGCUGUAAUAAUCGUGGCACAAGUCUGGGAGAAAGGACUGCAUGUGUAGAAGGCUGGCAGGGGAUGAAAAUAUCCAGAGUGAAUGAGUUUUCUCAAAGUUUAGAAAUGGGGAUGAAUGAGAGUUGAAUAGCCAUCAAACGGGUGUUCCUCUUCUUCAGUUCAAGCAGAGGAGAACAGACAAGGCAAUCGUUUAAAGGGACUAGCGAGAUAUCAUAUGAACAGUUUCUGCAAACUCCUGAAGAUGGUACUAGAUGUUCGGAGAUCAAAAGUUGGUACGAUAUAUGUGAUGUAAGAAGAGAUCAAGGGCGUUUCAACAUAUUUGGAGAAAUACAGUGGGAGAACAGGCGACUGAGUCAAGCGUUGCUAGGACCGGCCAAAGCUUACUUGGAAUUUAUUCUGAUCCGGAAUGGUCUCAAUUGGAAGCGAUGCUACAUUCUUUCCUCGGGAUGAUGAUAAUGGCGUGGAACUCAGAGAACUCGGGAGCAUGUGAACUUUUUUAAUGUUUUUGUCGUAGUGGCCACACUUCACAACGUGAAAUUAUGUAUGAUGUCUGAAUUACAAGAGACGUGUUUCAAAUUUUCUGCAAAGUGGAUUUAUGCAAAAUCAUGACCAGUUGAUACAA
Long non-coding RNA from Brassica napus (rape), 3410 nucleotides. RefSeq lists it as uncharacterized. The transcript is spliced from 2 exons. NCBI's taxonomy places the organism in Eukaryota, Viridiplantae, Streptophyta, Magnoliopsida, Brassicales, Brassicaceae. The record is from RefSeq and is a predicted model, not a curated record.